This 253-nucleotide ribosomal RNA is filed under the name uncultured bacterium. RNAcentral's name for it is "partial 16S ribosomal RNA". It matches the Rfam family "Bacterial small subunit ribosomal RNA", at positions 524 to 776 of the family's 1533-position model. The record is from RNAcentral.
GACGAACCGUGCGAACGUUAUUCGGAAUCACUGGGCUUAAAGGGCGCGUAGGCGGGCCGCCCGGUCCGGGGUGAAAUCCUCCAGCUCAACUGGAGAAGUGCCUUGGAUACCGGCGGCCUCGAGGGAGGCAGGGGCGUGCGGAACUUCGGGUGGAGCGGUGAAAUGCGUAGAUAUCCGAAGGAACACCGGUGGCGAAAGCGGCGCGCUGGACCUCUUCUGACGCUGAGGCGCGAAAGCCAGGGGAGCAAACGGG